RNAcentral lists this microRNA precursor (60 nucleotides) under Ptychodera flava. Its description in RNAcentral is "Pfl-Mir-9-v1_pre stem-loop". It matches the Rfam family "mir-9/mir-79 microRNA precursor family", at positions 2 to 62 of the family's 78-position model. Rfam says of the family: The mature ~21nt miRNAs are processed from hairpin precursor sequences represented here. miR-9 is processed from the 5' arm of its precursor, and miR-79 from the 3' arm. The bounds of the precursors are predicted based on conservation and base pairing and are not generally known. Lineage: Eukaryota; Metazoa; Hemichordata; Enteropneusta; Ptychoderidae. The record is from RNAcentral.
UCUUUGGUUAUCUAGCUGUAUGAGUGUUCUAGACAUUAUAAAGCUAGGUUACCAAAGACA